GACGAACGCUGGCGGCGUGCCUAAUACAUGCAAGUAGAACGCUGAAGGAGGAGCUUGCUCUUCUGGAUGAGUUGCGAACGGGUGAGUAACGCGUAGGUAACCUGCCUGGUAGCGGGGGAUAACUAUUGGAAACGAUAGCUAAUACCGCAUAACAGUAGAUGUUGCAUGACAUUUGCUUAAAAGGUGCAAUUGCAUCACUACCAGAUGGACCUGCGUUGUAUUAGCUAGUUGGUGGGGUAACGGCUCACCAAGGCGACGAUACAUAGCCGACCUGAGAGGGUGAUCGGCCACACUGGGACUGAGACACGGCCCAGACUCCUACGGGAGGCAGCAGGAGGGAAUCUUCGGCAAUGGACGGAAGUCUGACCGAGCAACGCCGCGGUAGUGAAGAAGGUUUUCGGAUCGUAAAGCUCUGUUGUAAGAGAAGAACGAGUGUGGGAGUGGAAAGUUCACACUGUGACGGUAUCUUACCAGAAAGGGACGGCUAACUACGUG
This 495-nucleotide ribosomal RNA is filed under the name uncultured bacterium. Its description in RNAcentral is "partial 16S ribosomal RNA". It matches the Rfam family "Bacterial small subunit ribosomal RNA", at positions 28 to 507 of the family's 1533-position model. The record is from RNAcentral.